GCACUGUUGACGAGUCCCUAACGGGACGAAACAGCUGUCCAGUGU
Echinostoma caproni is the source of this 45-nucleotide non-coding RNA. Lineage: Eukaryota; Metazoa; Platyhelminthes; Trematoda; Plagiorchiida; Echinostomatidae. The record is from Rfam.